AGAGUUUGAUCCUGGCUCAGAACGAACGCUGGCGGCAGGCCUAACACAUGCAAGUCGAACGAAGCCUUCGGGCUUAGUGGCGGACGGGUUAGUAACGCGUGGGAACGUGCCCUUCACUACGGAAUAGUCCCGGGAAACUGGGUUUAAUGCCGUAUACGCCCUUCGGGGGAAAGAAUUUCGGUGAGGGAUCGGCCCGCGUUAGAUUAGAUAGUUGGUGGGGUAAUGGCCUACCAAGUCUACGAUCUAUAGCUGGUUUUAGAGGAUGAUCAGCAACACUGGGACUGAGACACAGCCCAGACUCCUACGGGAGGCAGCAGUGGGGAAUCUUGGACAAUGGGCGCAAGCCUGAUCCAGCCAUGCCGCGUGAGUGAUGAAGGCCUUAGGGUCGUAAAGCUCUUUCGCCUGUGAAGAUAAUGACUGUAGCAGGUAAAGAAACCCCGGCUAACUCCGUGCCGGCAGCCGCGGUAAUACGGAGGGGGUUAGCGUUGUUCGGAAUUACUGGGCUUAAAGAGCGCGUACGCGGGACUAUUUGUCAGGGGUGAAAUCCCGGGGCUCAACCCCGGAACGGCCCUUGAUACUGGUAGUCUUGAGUUCGAGAGAGGUGAGUGGAAUUCCGAGUGUAGAGGUGAAAUUCGUAGAUAUUCGGAGGAACACCAGUGGCGAAGGCGGCUCACUGGCUCGAUACUGACGCUGAGGUGCGAAAGUGUGGGGAGCAAACAGGAUUAGAUACCCUGGUAGUCCACACCGUAAACGAUGAAUGCCAGUCGUCGGGUAGCAUGCUGCUCGGUGACACACCUAACGGAUUAAGCAUUCCGCCUGGGGAGUACGGUCGCAAGAUUAAAACUCAAAGGAAUUGACGGGGGCCCGCACAAGCGGUGGAGCAUGUGGUUUAAUUCGAAGCAACGCGCAGAACCUUACCAACCCUUGACAUCCUCGGACAACUCCAGAGAUGGAGCUUUCACUUCGGUGGCCGAGUGACAGGUGCUGCAUGGCUGUCGUCAGCUCGUGUCGUGAGAUGUUCGGUUAAGUCCGGCAACGAGCGCAACCCACACCCUUAGUUGCCAGCAGUUCGGCUGGGCACUCUAAGGGAACUGCCCGUGAUAAGCGGGAGGAAGGUGUGGAUGACGUCAAGUCCUCAUGGCCCUUACGGGUUGGGCUACACACGUGCUACAAUGGCAGUGACAAUGGGUUAAUCCCAAAAAACUGUCUCAGUUCGGAUUGUCGUCUGCAACUCGACGGCAUGAAGUCGGAAUCGCUAGUAAUCGCGUAACAGCAUGACGCGGUGAAUACGUUCCCGGGCCUUGUACACACCGCCCGUCACAUCAUGGGAGUUGGGUUUACCCGAAGACGGUGCGCCAACCUCGCAAGAGGGGGCAGCUGGCCACGGUAGGCUCAGCGACUGGGAUGAAGUCGUAACAAGGUAGCCGUA
RNAcentral lists this ribosomal RNA (1429 nucleotides) under uncultured bacterium. Its description in RNAcentral is "bacterial SSU rRNA". It matches the Rfam family "Bacterial small subunit ribosomal RNA". The record is from RNAcentral.